GUGGCGGAUCGGAGAAGGAGCAAAGAUGGCGGAGUGAGGCGUUCCCCGGCAGCCGGGCUCCGGGCCCGGGCGGGCCUCCCGCGAGAGGCAGAGCACUUGUGCGGGGCCGAGUGAGAUUGUCCAUCUCCGUGUUGCUUUUGACAUCUGCAGUGACCCGUUCCCGAAGGCGUCAUCGGUGAAGGAACCUUAGCACACAAGAUGAAUAUUUUCGUGACCUUAGGUGCUUUUAUAUUCAGCUCAGAAUUCUGAACUCAGGACUUGGCAAGAAUGUCUGUGUUGUCUUCUCAGUGGGGCGUCCUGGUUCUUUGAUCCAGCUGCUUCCCCUGGUGAAAUGCGGGUGUCUUUCUACACACACCUCCACGGUUUGGAAUGGAGAGACUGCCUGCCUUUCCUUAACGCCACCUCAGCAGAGAGGAGUCUGGGAUGCAGCUGUCGUGUUGAGUUCAGGAGAAACCAACUGGCCUGAAGCUUCUGUUGCAGUUCCUUCAUUAGAAAGACACCGUUUGCAAGUGGAAGGAAGGUGUUUAAUUGGAAACAGGUGCUUAGGUUGUGCAUCGUGAGUUCUUCCUUUAAAAGCUCCAAACAACAAAACUUAACAAAUGCCAAGUGUGGGUGACUUCAGGUUUCAUUUUGUUUGGUUUUUAAGUCUGCCAGUUUUAACACUAUUAUAAGCACAGUUGAGACUGCAGUGGUAAAUUCCAAAUAUGCGUUAUAAUUGGAGGUGAAAGAAACAUUAUCUAACUCCUAGCUCACCCUUGACAGAAUUUCCUGGACAAAAACAAGUCUCUGUUAUGAUAAAAGCAAAAGUCAAGAUUUCAAGGUUGCUUUCCUAUGGGAUUGUAACCGUUGCAGUGUGUGUGCAGAGUCACAUUUUUAUGUGUAUAAAUCCACAUUUUCUAACAGGAUUUUUCUCUUGGAGAAGAAAGCUGUCAUUUAUGAGAAGGCUUCAGACAGUUUGAUGGUCUUAAGUGUUUGAGCUUUGUCUGUUUUGCUUUGCUUUUUUCAUCCUCAGGAAGGACCAGCUAGGCCUGUGGCUAGUUCGGAGUGGGAAGAGAACAGGCUGGGGUGAUGCUUGCCUCAUACGGCCAGUGCUUGGGAGGCUGAGGCAGGAAGAUCAGAAGUUCGGGUCCAGCUUUGGCCACAUGGUGAGACUGUCUCAAAAACAGCAGAAAAGAAAGAAAAAUGAGCCCAGUAACACCACUCGUUUGUUUUCCGAGAGUAUUUUCUUUUUUGCAAUCUCAUGUAGCACAUGAGACUUCGGUUUUCCAUGUGGCUGUGGCUGAAGGAAAGUGAUAUGUGUUAUGUGAUGGACCCUAUGGUAUAACUCACCUUCCACUUUGAACAUACAGGAGUGAAGGAAAAUAACUCAAAGGGGGCGUGUAGAUCCUCUUCUGAGAAAAAGAAGCCGCGACGUCUAAUGUAGCAGCAUCUGACUUUAGAUUUUUUACAUUAUGUAGUUGCAUUUGUUUUAAAAGCAUAAAUAACCUUCAUCCAAGAUGGGUACUUGGACAUUUAUUUUUCUAGGUGAUAAUGUAAUGUAAGGCUGAAAUUCUGGGACUCAGGUAAAUUUUCCCAGUUUGAAUUGAACUUUCUUACCAGAGAAUGGAUCUCAGAAGCAACGUUCCCAGUCCUGUGAUCGGUUCACUAUACUCUUGGAAGAAAUUCAGGAUCUGAACAAACUUCAAAUAAGAAAAGCGGGUCAAAUAAGAAGUGUGGACCUUGUUCCAAGUCACUGUAGAUUUAGAGGAAAUUCAGGUUCAGGGUUGGGAAGACCUUGAGAAAACUAGUUCCAAUAAGAAAUGAUGUGUGUUCAUUUUUCCUUUAACAGUUAUGAGGAACCAUCAUGAAAAUCUCUCUUUGCUUCCAAAUCAACAGAAGUCUGUUUUAUGGGAUGCCAGGCUUGUACAAGGGAGUGAACUGUUGUUCUCAGUGGUUGCCAAUAGAGAAGGAAGUUUAAGGUUGCUAGAGUUAGGAACAGGUGCUGUUGGAGCUGAUUUCUGGAACCAUUUCCCAGUGCUGUGAAGUUGAGUCAUAAAAA
Molecule: long non-coding RNA, 2038 nt
Organism: Peromyscus leucopus (white-footed mouse)
Lineage: Eukaryota; Metazoa; Chordata; Mammalia; Rodentia; Cricetidae
Exons: 4
Source: RefSeq, a predicted model, not a curated record